CUGCAGCCAAUUAAGCUGACCAAGUCCCUUUCCCCAUGGGGCUUGGUGUGCACUGAUCGCAAACUGUAGUCACUUUGGGAGUAUAUGCAGCCUGAUGCCUUAUGGGCUGCACAGAGGGACAUUGGAGACAAUU
Rattus norvegicus (Norway rat) is the source of this 133-nucleotide small nucleolar RNA. Ensembl annotates it as small nucleolar RNA SNORA70. Lineage: Eukaryota; Metazoa; Chordata; Mammalia; Rodentia; Muridae. The record is from Ensembl.